CACUAACCAUACAGGUACUGCCGAAUUCUUCCCUUAAGGUAUGAAAGAGAAUAGACUAACUAGGUAGCCAAUUCAAAACAUAUAUUGUACCCUCUAGUUUGUUUAGCGAUUGAUAGCAUGAAUUCAUGUUUUCGCCAUGUCCCAAAAAACGUUCCACUGACACUCGCGAAUAAGGCCAAAUUUGAUUAAAUGAAUCAUAUGAAUCCUUUAAAAAAAAGUUAAACGAUACGAAUGAUUCACUUUGCCAUUAUUUUAGUUGGGAUCCAGAUCAAUCGUGGUGAAUCGAAUCAUGUGAAUCAUUAACAUUUUCAUUUUAGGAAAAACGAUUAGAUGUAGCCUUUCUUUUGGAUAAUGUGGCUUCAGCACUUGAUUUGUAGAUACCUCCAAUUUAUUUGGGCAUUCAAUGUAUGGGACAUUGCUACUCAAUAGAUGUUAGUCAGGCUCCAAAGUAAACACUUCUAAGGUAGCUAAAAUAAAUAAUUGGAAAAGGAGAGCCGCACACUAGGAGCUCAGAUGCAAUUUAACGUUUUGACAGCCAAACUGUCUCCAUCAGGGUACAUCAGGAUAAAUAUGACUAAACUAGAAAAAGGUACAUUUCCCGAAGAAAUAGUAACAUUCACCUUUGCUUUCCUCACCCUUGUUAUGUUGCGUUUUGUUUAUUUCUUUUGUCGAAUCAUUUUGUGAAAUAUUAUUAUUGGGGGGGAAAAACAACCUCCCCGGGUGUUUUUAACUUGAUUUGAAUAUGCUAAUUUCUCUCUGGAUUUGUUUUUCUGUUUUUUUCACCUUCUUCCUGUGUCACUUGAUUGUCUGUUUUCGUAUGUACUAUACCUGUUGGGUUUAUUUGGGUUCAGUCCUUGCGAAACAAAUCAUUUAUUUAGACUUGAAGGUUUUAGCCCCUAUAAUGCGUUGUUGCUGAAUUGUGCAGAAUAAUUUAUUUCUUAUUAAUGAAUAUUUCCCUGCUGUAACUUAUAUUUAAGAAAAUUCUGUGAGUUAGGUGGUCUCUAACCAAAGUGUGCUAUUGUAAAAAAAGACUGAUGCAUACUUAUUUGUAUCGUCUGUUCGUUUUGUCGCUUUUUAGUGACGCAAAGCGUAAACAACAGAAGUGGUUUUUAUUUCGUUAAUCUUUUCACACACAACGGAUCAAAGAUCCGGCGUCGUCCGGGUUUGGCCGGCGUAAGCCGUCAUUGAUACAUGUUAACACUGCAGCAUCAAGAUGUCGUACAUGCUGCCGCAUCUCCACAGCGGCUGGCAGGUCGACCAAGCCAUUCUAUCCGAGGAGGACAGAGUCCUGGUUAUUAGGUUUAGCCACGAAUUGGGACCCAACGUGUAUGAAAAUGGACGAGGUGUUGUACAGCGUAGCUGAAAAGGUGAAAAACUUUGCAGUCAUCUAUUUGGUGGACAUCACAGCGGUGCCGGACUUCAACAAGAUGUACGAGAUGUA
Molecule: long non-coding RNA, 1441 nt
Organism: Oncorhynchus keta (chum salmon)
Lineage: Eukaryota; Metazoa; Chordata; Actinopteri; Salmoniformes; Salmonidae
Exons: 3
Source: RefSeq, a predicted model, not a curated record